This is a long non-coding RNA of Tupaia belangeri chinensis (Chinese tree shrew), 984 nucleotides long. RefSeq lists it as uncharacterized. The transcript is spliced from 3 exons. NCBI's taxonomy places the organism in Eukaryota, Metazoa, Chordata, Mammalia, Scandentia, Tupaiidae. The record is from RefSeq and is a predicted model, not a curated record.
AGCCCCAGUCCACUCACCUACUUAGGGUCUGUCUGCUUUACUGGGUAAGGACAAACCUAUUACCGAAGGCUGAACAUUUUUUAUUUCUGGGAACGCUGGCGCCACGCUGAAUCCCACAAAUACCAUGGCAACCUACUGAGCCCUCUUCACACACUGCCAUCCUGGUGAGACAGCCUUGCUAAUGCUGGAGGCAAACAGCAAUUUAUUAACUGGGCCUCACCUAGGCUAGGAUUCUAAUGGGAGUAAUUGCCCUUAAUUGUAUCACAAAUGGAAGCCACAGCUUAAGAAGUGUUACAUCUUCAUUACCAACUUCCCACAGGGCUCACGCUCUUCUCCCACCCUCUGGGGCUCUCUGGGGCGUGCACACCCUAUAGCAAAUGAAGAAGAAGAAGAGGAAGAGGAAGAAGAAACUAAAUGAAUGAUUCUUAUGGGAAAAAGCGUUUGGAGAGGACUUUAGGAACAGAACUGCUUCCCUGCCGCCCUCCUCUCCGCGCGGCCUUCCUUGGGAAGAGAGAUACAGACAGCGCAAGACAGGGUGCUUGUUGUCCAAAAAAGUGUGAGUGACUAAGAAGGUUCUGAAGGAGACGCUGCCCCCGAUUCAGGGAGAGGGGACGAGGCAGCUGCAGGAGGCCGCCCUGCAAGGUGAUGCCACUUGGAAAGGAAAUUGGGGCUUCUCGGCAGAAUGGAGCUCAGAACAGGCCAAGGGGAAGUUAUUCCUCCCUCCCUCCUUUUCCAGGUGAGGAAGGCAUCACUACUUCCACUUUGGAGACAAAGACAAAAAGUUAGGGCAUGUGCCUCUGGCCCUUUAGACACGCAGUGACGAGUCUGGGAUUAUAACAAAGAUCUGACACCCAUGUCAAGAACCACAUAACAUAAACAUGUUCUCUGUCAAACUAAAGUGAUCAUGUCACCUGAGACCUCGUCCAAUGAAGCACGGGAAGUGAAUGCCGGGGGUCGCUCACAGGGCAGCCCUGAGCUCGCUGG